UGGCUAUUCUCGGAUGUGGACCCCUUUAAAAAUGACAAAUGUCUUGUCAAUACAGACCAUCCAUCCUCUCUUGCUUUCUCAUCAUUUUUCGGCGUGAGGAGGGACCCAGGCGCAGGCCCGGCGGCGCGUGUCACGCGGCCUGCAUUGUACCGUAAUCGCCAAAACCUUGGCCUAAUUUGCAGCUAAUAUAUCUCGAGCGAAGGAGUCGGCCGAGAAAUCAGUGGCCCAAGGAGCUAGAUUUAAGCUUUGUUGGGAUCGGAAAUUAAGGGACUGCAAGGGGGAUGUGAUUCAUAUUAUUCUCCCCUCUCCCCCUCCCACACACGACCAUACGUCUCUCCGCUCGGCCUGCAGGGACGCGGCCCUUAUCUCUCCGCGGCCUGUGUCCCUGUCGCUUGCUUGUCUCGCUCCGGACCACUGUGUCUGGGGCGCCCUCCGCCUGGUUUCUCCUCGCCCCCGGGAGGAGGCGCUGGUGUCCGGGUCGGCCUCUGGUCCCUCCCAGCCGGCGUCCCGGAGCCCCCAUUCACAAAGCCCGGCUUGGAGGAGGCGACACCACACACACACACACACACACACACACACACACGCACGCACACACACCCCGAAGAGGGGAGUUUGAUCUUGUCUCAUUGGCGUCUCGGGCCUGAAAGGAAAAUCGUUUGGGUAAACAGCCAAGCUUCCAGGCUUAACGCCCGGCUGCCGCCCCCGCCCCUCCGCCCCCUCCCGCCUCCCCCACUCCCCUUCCACCCCACCCGCCACCCACACUCCGCUCCGCAGCCGGGCCCCGAGCGAGCUCCGCGCGCCCGGGCGGGAGCCGAGGGCUCCCCGGGUUCAAAGGGCCGCAGCCCCGAGGGAAUGCCCUCCUCGCUGUGCCCCGAGGGGCAGAAGCGGACCGCAGGGCGGUGGGACCGGCCCGGGCCACGAUGGUGUUCAGUGACAAGACCCAAACUAUUUGCAAAACUCCAGGACAUGCGUCUUUCUGCGGAGAAAAACAGACAUUAUCAAAAGCCUGGAAGGAAUCUUUGACUUUCUCCCAUUUGAACAAACAACAGCUUCAAAGUUGUUGACAGUGUACUAAACAAAGAUACGAGAAUAUCCCCAGAAAGGAAAAUAUGCCAGGACGAAGUUGUUUCCUGUAUGUGAACGCUGAGAUUUAAGGAAAUAUCGUGGCUCCCCUUUAACUCACAAAUAAAUUCUUUUUUUUUUUGAACAAUUGCUCCCUUUGAGAUUUGCAAAUAGUUCCACUAGUUUACACAGUCCUUUUUUCCUCCUUCCUUUUAAGUAUACCUCUUAAGUAAGCAGACACUUUAACUUGCCUUCUUAUUAGACAGCUUUUUCUUUAUUGCCUUUUCAUAGCACAGCUAUCAAAAAUAAGAUAAUACGCAAGAUCUGGGACCUAAUCAGCUUUCUGGCUGAGUUUAAAGAGUCUAGAGGCUGUUUAAAGGUAGCCCUGGUUAUGUGUGCGGGCUUUACUGCCUUGUUUGCUCGACCACAUUUUGAUGGAGAGGGUAAUGUGUUUGCUAGAUAAGGCAAAAGGGACCAGCCAAAAAAGCAAGGCUCUGUUUGAUAAACCCUGACAUAUUUAGCCAUUUUUCUCCCACAUGAAAGGAAGCUUUAAAACUCUAAGAAAAAUAGAGGUGUCCGUUCAAGCACGCUAAUGUUGAUCAAGACAAAAAAAAAAAAAAAAAAAAAAAAAAGAAGUAAAUAAAGAAAAUGGGCAUCUUUUAGUCUAUUAAAUUAAUUAGCUCCAGAGCUUAUCACGCAGUUGAAAAGCUGGAUAAAAUACAAGUCUGUUUCUCGUUGUUGUCAUUUGAUGUGAAGGGUGAGUUCUUUAAGUCAGUGUACGUUGAAAAGACAGUUGUUCUGUUCAGCUUGACUUGCCCUGGUAGAAGGUUUGAACCCUGUAUGAAGGAGCUCAUUAAGCAAAGUUAAACUCUUAUAAGGCCGAUCAGCAUGGACUUGGGAUGAGAACUCAGUCUGAAAUUAGGGUUGAACACACAUGAUGACAGUCUUUGUUAAGUGGCCUAUAGCCUGAAAACAGAUUUAAAAAGCCAGAAUCAAAAUAUGUCACCGGACAUCUACCGGUAACUAGAGGUCCAUAGAUAGCUCUACAAUCUGGAAUGAUGUAAAAAUGUUGGAGGUGAACUAUUGAUUAUCUUAUAAUAAUUUUCCUUUUCUAGAAAAAGUAAAGGAAUAAAAUGUCAGAAAGCUUCACAAAAUAGAGCUGUCUCUCAAAAUGAGACUUGAACUGGUGUAGGCAU
This is a long non-coding RNA of Leopardus geoffroyi (Geoffroy's cat), 2258 nucleotides long. RefSeq lists it as uncharacterized. NCBI's taxonomy places the organism in Eukaryota, Metazoa, Chordata, Mammalia, Carnivora, Felidae. The transcript is spliced from 3 exons. The record is from RefSeq and is a predicted model, not a curated record.